AACGGUGGGGACCUAAAUUGUGGUCCCCACGGGUACAAAAGCUUAUAAAUCAUACAGAAUGUCACACACACUCACACUCAUACACACUCUCACACACACACACACACACUCACACUCAUACACACUCUCUCUCACACACACACACACACACACACUCACACUCAUACACACUCUCUCUCACACACACACACACACACACACUCACACUCAUACACACUCUCUCUCACACACACACACACACACACACUCACACUCAUACACACUCUCUCUCACACACACACACACACACACACUCACACUCAUACACACUCUCUCUCACACACACACACACACACACACUCACACUCAUACACACUCUCUCUCACACACACACACACACACACACUCACACUCAUACACACUCUCUCUCACACACACACACACACACACACUCACACUCAUACACACUCUCUCUCACACACACACACACACACACACUCACACUCAUACACACUCUCUCUCACACACACACACACACACACACUCACACUCAUACACACUCUCUCUCACACACACACACACACACACACUCACACUCAUACACACUCUCUCUCACACACACACACACACACACACUCACACUCAUACACACUCUCUCUCACACACACACACACACACACACUCACACUCAUACACACUCUCUCUCACACACACACACACACACACACUCACACUCAUACACACUCUCUCUCACACACACACACACACACACACUCACACUCAUACACACUCUCUCUCACACACACACACACACACACACUCACACUCAUACACACUCUCUCUCACACACACACACACACACACACUCACACUCAUACACACUCUCUCUCACACACACACACACACACACACUCACACUCAUACACACUCUCUCUCACACACACACACACACACACACUCACACUCAUACACACUCUCUCUCACACACACACACACACACACACUCACACUCAUACACACUCUCUCUCACACACACACACACACACACACUCACACUCAUACACACUCUCUCUCACACACACACACACACACACACUCACACUCAUACACACUCUCUCUCACACACACACACACACACACACUCACACUCAUACACACUCUCUCUCACACACACACACACACACACACUCACACUCAUACACACUCUCUCUCACACACACACACACACACACACUCACACUCAUACACACUCUCUCUCACACACACACACACACACACACUCACACUCAUACACACUCUCUCUCACACACACACACACACACACACUCACACUCAUACACACUCUCUCUCACACACACACACACACAC
RNAcentral lists this long non-coding RNA (1347 nucleotides) under Sinocyclocheilus grahami. RNAcentral's name for it is "lncRNA (ENSSGRG00000032674.1)". The record is from RNAcentral. Lineage: Eukaryota; Metazoa; Chordata; Actinopteri; Cypriniformes; Cyprinidae.